Molecule: small RNA, 29 nt
Filed under: Bombyx mori (domestic silkworm)
Lineage: Eukaryota; Metazoa; Arthropoda; Insecta; Lepidoptera; Bombycidae
Description: ovarian small RNA-15455
Source: RNAcentral
GACCAGUUCGGGAGAGCUUCCACCAUGAU